Mytilus californianus (California mussel) is the source of this 1432-nucleotide long non-coding RNA. RefSeq lists it as uncharacterized. The transcript is spliced from 3 exons. Lineage: Eukaryota; Metazoa; Mollusca; Bivalvia; Mytilida; Mytilidae. The record is from RefSeq and is a predicted model, not a curated record.
GACUGUCUCACUGGUUAAAAAUAAAAUUUAUUUUAAGAAAUGCGGAGGAGCGACAAGAAUUUCCCGUGUAAAAUACGUCGUUUUCUAAUGAAAGUCGUAGUUUUUAGAAAUGGGAAUUUUAUAACAAAAGGAUUAUAAAAACACUGAUGAUGAUGACAAACAAUUUGUUUCCGACAUUUAUACCGGUAGGAUAUAUCCAUUUUGAUAACAGAAGAAUUAACGGUCACUAUCUGUGUUUAGAGAUUGAAUAGAAAAUACAACUACAGUCAAUGUCUCAAAAAGGAUGUUUGAAUGAUGCACAUGGUGCAUGUAUCUCUGAGCCAAUGUGUGUCUACCACAAGUCAGAAUAUAUUCGAUUUUAUUGUGAAGAAUGCCGAGUUUUUAUUUGCGACGACUGCAUUACUGGGAAAGGCAAACAUAGAAGAUGUUUUAAGACAAAACUAAGUGACUAUGGAAAUAGAACAAGACGUUUGUUAAGAGAAAGGACAAAAAGAGCAGAAGACAAACUCUCCAAAUUAAGUUCAGAAUUGGAUCUUGCUAUGCACGUUCAAAAACGUUUCAAUGAAGCAGUGGACGAAAGCAUUAGUUCGGUUGUAUUCAGAAGAGAAAUCAUACGACAGAAAUUUGACGAUUUACAAAAAGAGUUGAUAACUAAAUUAGAUGGCUUGCGUAACCAGGCAAAUACGCAAUAUGAAGAAUUCAUCAAUCUUCAUACUAAUCAAUACUGCAAAAUGAAAGAAAUUACAGAGACUAUCCGUACUACGGAAACGGAAAUGACUGAAAACGAUAUGGUGACGUAUACUUCUAAACUGAAUAAAUUUAUAGAUAGUUCGGAGGCUGUUCCAAAACUUGAGCCCCCAAGCUAUGUGACGGAUGACAAGUAUUUUUCCUCAAAAUAUCUACGACAACUAUUUGGCGAUAUUGAAUUUGUUGAGUUAAAUUACCUGCCAAUUGCAACUUAUUGAGCCAGACACCAACCAACGUAGUUCUAUCUCAAGACUAUAAAUACCAACAUACAGAAGAAAAAGAAAAGAUAAUGUACAUGCCACUUUUUCUUUAGAUGGUGAAAAUGACAAAGCGUCAGGAGCCGAAACUUUAAAAAAAAAAAUUUUUAACUACAAAUUAUCCUAGAAAGAUCAUGAACAUGAAUGACAUAUUUGCCACUGGACGCUUAACAACCCAUAAAUAAUCCAUUAAAGAAAGAAAAGGAGAAAGAAUAAAAUGAAAAAAGAAGAAAGAAAUUCACAUGCUUCUUUUUCCAAGGUUCCAAUUCAGUGAUCAUUUAUGUGUAAUCUCGGUUUAGUAUGUCCCUUCGAAAUCUAAAACUUUUCAUUUAUUUGUAGGUUUGAAUUUACCAACUUUAAUAUAUUUAUAACUUUAGUACUAUAAGAAAUUUCUCAUGAAUGUUAUCAUAUUAGAUUAUUUAUUUUGA